This is a non-coding RNA of Aegilops tauschii subsp. strangulata, 531 nucleotides long. The record is from RefSeq and is a predicted model, not a curated record. Lineage: Eukaryota; Viridiplantae; Streptophyta; Magnoliopsida; Poales; Poaceae.
GUUAUACUGUCACAGGAUGUGCAGUGCAGAUGAUUGACGAUUAAAUUUGUAUACGAAUUUAUUCCAUUAUAAGCCUGGUGGUGUAACAGUGAAUGAUGAUUGUAUUAUUCUGCCUCUUGGUUAUCACAGGAAAUACACGAGUUAUCAAUCAGAAAGAACUUGAAUAUUUCAGGCAAGAACUCCAGGCACGACUUACUAACUACAGUGUGUUACUGAAAUCUAAACAGCUGCCACUAUCGCUUCUGCAGGAUCAUCAGAAGCAAGCUCGUGCACAUCUUCUUGACACUGAGCCUUUUGAGCAUGCCUUUGGACCAAAGGGCAAGCGUAAAUGACCAAAACUAUCCAGUCUCGAUUAUGAAUCUCUAAUAAAGAAAGCUGAUGAUUCUCAAGAUGCGUUUGAGGAAAAACAUGCUUCAUCAAAGUUGCCAAAGGAUGAAGAGGAAGAUUGCUUAAGGGAUCUAGUCAGGCAUAAUAUGUUUGAGAAAGGACAAAGCAAAAGAAUUUGGGGUGAAGUUUAUAAAGUUCUUGACU